RNAcentral lists this unclassified non-coding RNA (253 nucleotides) under uncultured Flavobacteriaceae bacterium. RNAcentral's name for it is "contains 16S-23S intergenic spacer region". It matches the Rfam family "Bacterial small subunit ribosomal RNA", at positions 524 to 776 of the family's 1533-position model. The record is from RNAcentral. Lineage: Bacteria; Pseudomonadati; Bacteroidota; Flavobacteriia; Flavobacteriales; Flavobacteriaceae.
UACGGAGGAUCCAAGCGUUAUCCGGAAUCAUUGGGCUUAAAGGGUCCGUAGGCGGGUCGAUAAGUCAGUGGUGAAAGUCUGCAGCUCAACUGUAGAACUGCCAUUGAUACUGUAGGUCUUGAGUCAUUAUGAAGUGGUUAGAAUGAGUAGUGUAGCGGUGAAAUGCAUAGAUAUUACAUAGAAUGCCGAUUGCGAAGGCAGAUCACUAAUAAUUUACUGACGCUGAUGGACGAAAGCGUAGGUAGCGAACAGG